GGGGCUGACGUGGUUUUGACAGCAUGUAGAAUUGAUAUGUAAGCAUGUCGAGCGUUGUUAUUCCAGCUCGUAAAUAUCGGAUAUCAUACUUUUUAAUUGGCGAAAAUAACUACGCUCUUGCUGCUUAAUCGAAUUAUAGUAGAUUAAAGCUUUAUCAUCACUCUAGGAGUGAAGACGAGACAUCCAGCUUAUGGUCCUACCUUGUUCCGGUAAGUAAUUGGAUGCUAUCAAUUCAGGGUUAGUCAGCUUCAAGCUUUGAGGAGUUGGCGAAAUUUAGAAGAUAAGUUAGGAUCUCGGGUGUGCUUUCCCAAAUCCCAAUCGAAAAUUAAUAAAGCAAUAAGCAUGUAGAAAGCCUAUUGAUCACUUGUUUGGACCAGGGUUCGAUUCCCUGCAGCUCCACUA
Molecule: transfer-messenger RNA, 402 nt
Filed under: Marinifilaceae
Lineage: Bacteria; Pseudomonadati; Bacteroidota; Bacteroidia; Marinilabiliales
Also listed under: 1 other name
Description: Ancylomarina_A longa Standard tmRNA
Rfam family: transfer-messenger RNA
About the family: Bacterial tmRNA, also known as 10Sa RNA or SsrA, is named for its dual tRNA and mRNA-like properties.
Source: RNAcentral